This 395-nucleotide unclassified non-coding RNA is filed under the name soil metagenome. RNAcentral's name for it is "partial contains 5.8S ribosomal RNA, internal transcribed spacer 2, and large subunit ribosomal RNA". The stretch from base 1 to 122 matches the Rfam family "5.8S ribosomal RNA", at positions 35 to 154 of the family's 154-position model. The record is from RNAcentral.
GAUGAAGAACGUAGCGAAAUGCGAUACUUGGUGUGAAUUGCAGAAUCCCGUGAACCAUCGAGUCUUUGAACGCAAGUUGCGUCCGAAGCCAUCAGGUUGAGGGCACGUCUGCCUGGGCGUCACAUAUCGUUGCCCAAUGCCUAUUGCAGUGCAAUAGGAAUUUCUAGGGCGAAUGAUGGCUUCCCGUGAGCGUUGUUGCCUCGCGGUUGGUUGAAAAUCGAGUCCUUGGUAGGGUGUGCCAUGGUAGAUGGUGGUCGAGUUAGAACGAUACCGAUCAUGUGCAUGCUCCCCAAAAUAUGGCCUCUAUGACCCACACGCGUCUUUUGACGCUCAUGACGAGACCUCAGGUCAGGCGGGGCUACCCGCUGAAUUUAAGCAUAUCAAUAAGCGGAGGA